GGUCUCGUUCUGUAAUACUGUCUAUAAGCAAUGUGGUAACGACUUGCCCGACCAUGAACACUGUGUGUUAUGCUAUUUGGGGAUGUAUGCCGUACGUGUAUUUCUGUGUCAUCAUCUACAGACUUGGCCAAUAGAUAGUCGUUCAGGUCUACACUCAGUGCCAAUGGAGCGGCACAAGGCGCUGUUGAGCUGCAUGACUUUGUGUGUGAGCUGAUGGCGACCUGAUCGCAUGCGAGGAGUUCUGCAAUGUUGCCAACAUCGGAAGUACAUGCCACAGUGGAAAAAUAAGAAGUGUAUGAACUGGUCUCCAGAUUUGCUAGGCAAAUCAAUAAGGCUGUGCUCCUUCUGCAAUAGAUGGCGCAAUACGUAGUGAGCUGUGCCCCAGGGUAUUGUCGGCUUGCCAUAUGUGUAUAAGGAAAGCGCAGCUGAACCAUUGAGGGCAAUAAAAUGGAUUUGUUGACAUUUUU
This 467-nucleotide long non-coding RNA is filed under the name Rhipicephalus microplus (southern cattle tick). Its description in RNAcentral is "uncharacterized LOC119170809, transcript variant X1". The record is from RNAcentral. Lineage: Eukaryota; Metazoa; Arthropoda; Arachnida; Ixodida; Ixodidae.